RNAcentral lists this ribosomal RNA (253 nucleotides) under uncultured bacterium. RNAcentral's name for it is "partial 16S ribosomal RNA". It matches the Rfam family "Bacterial small subunit ribosomal RNA", at positions 524 to 776 of the family's 1533-position model. The record is from RNAcentral.
UACGGGGGAUGCAAGUGUUAUCCGGAAUCACUGGGCGUAAAGCGUCUGCAGGUGGUUUCCUAAGUCCACUGUUAAACCUUGAGGCUCAACCUCAAAUCUGCAUUGGAAACUAGGAGACUUGAGUAUAGUAGGGGUAGAGGGAAUUUCCAGUGGAGCGGUGAAAUGCGUAGAUAUUGGAAAGAACACCGAUGGCGAAGGCACUCUACUGGGCUAUUACUGACACUCAGAGACGAAAGCUAGGGGAGCAAAUGGG